This 1621-nucleotide long non-coding RNA is filed under the name Homo sapiens (human). RNAcentral's name for it is "HSALNT0338557". Lineage: Eukaryota; Metazoa; Chordata; Mammalia; Primates; Hominidae. The record is from RNAcentral.
GCGGGCAGCAGGCAGGACACGUGGAAACGCAACCGCCAGGAGGAAAGGCGGGACACAGCGGGAAGGGAGGUUUGCCUCCCCUCUCUUCCUGUGGUGACCCCCACCUCACUUACAAAAAUCACCACCGACGUUUGGGAACCGUGCACGCCGACUGAAAGCAAAGCUCAGCUGACCUGCGAGGAGUCCCCGGGGAGCUGCCGCGGUGGUCGCCGUUGAGUCCGUCCGUGCCGCUGGGGCCGAGGCAGCUGGAGACACAGGUUUAUUUCAACACUGGGAAGGCUCCAUUCCUACUUAAACCCAGCAGGGAACAGGGAGCGGUGUGCAGAGGAGGUGGCCUGCCCGGGAAGCCGGCCUUGGUGCUGGGACUGCAGGGAGAGGGCUGUGAGGAAGAGCACAGGCUUCAUGCACAUUGCACAGAGGAGGAGAUUCAUGGGGACAGCAGGCACUGGUUAGGCACAGCGGGAAGGUUAUCGAAGACAAAACACAUUUCUACCCAAGUUUAAAUGACCUGCUAUGCCCACAGAGCUUGAUCCAGAAGUGCACAGUAGAGACGGGGUUUCACCAUGUUAGCCAGGAUGGUCUCGAUCUCCUGACCUCGUGAUCUGCCCGCCUCAGCCUCCCAAAGUGCUGGGAUUACAGGAGUGAGCCACCGCUCCCGGCCCAGAACUUUUAAUAAAUAUAAAUACACAGGUAAUUUUAACACAUAUUCCUGAUGAAAUCAUUAUUAUCUGCAAUGCUUUCAUUCUGCUUUUUCUCUUAACAAUGGCAUAAACAUUUUUCAAGGUCAAUAAAUGUUUUUCAAAAUCGCAUUUGUAUUAGUGGCUGUAUAGUUUUCUAUCAAAUGUGGAAUAAACUCAAUUUAUUUCUCCCUUUUGUUCUUGAACAUUUAAGAUCAUUGGUUCAUAGUUACUAAUCAUGUUACAACAAAUAUUCAUGUAUUCCAAAUUUUGCUCAUUCCUGAUUAUUUCCUUAGAUUUCCAGGUAUGGAAUAAUUAGGUUGAAGUGUUUGAAAUCUUUUUUUGUUGGUUUGUUUGUUUUUGAGAUGUAGCUUCCCUCUGUUGCCCCGGCUGGAGUGCACUGGCAUGAUCUCAGCUCACUCACUGCAACCUCUGCUGCCUGGUUCAAGCGAUUCUCCUGCCUCAGCCUCCUGAAUAGCUGGGGUUACAGGUGCGCACCACCACGCCCGGCUAAUUUUUGUAUUUUUAGUAGAGACAGGGUUUCAUCAUGUUGGCCAGGUGGGUCUCAAACUCCUGACCUCAGGUGGUCCUUCUGCCUUGGCCUCCCAAAGUGCUGGGAUUACAGGCGUGAGCCACUGCGCCCGGCCGAAGUGUUUGAAAUCUUUAAGCAUCCUGGUAAAUAUUGAGUUUUGUCAAUAUUUAGAAAAGUUGCAUGAUUGACAUCGCUUCCACCCAUGUUUCAGAGCAUCUGAUUUGUCAGACCCUCACCAAAAAUGGGCUUUUAUCAAAAUGUAAUAAAAAAUAAAUACAACUUUUCCAAUGACAAAACUGGUUUCUCAUUUUUUUGAUACAUGUUUCUUGAAUUCUAGAGAGAUUGAAUAUUAUGAAUAUGUUUUCUGUUAUAUCUUUUAUAUUAAUAUAAAUGUUAUAUAUUUACAUAUUUU